This 32-nucleotide non-coding RNA is filed under the name Syntrophotalea carbinolica DSM 2380. Lineage: Bacteria; Pseudomonadati; Thermodesulfobacteriota; Desulfuromonadia; Desulfuromonadales; Syntrophotaleaceae. The record is from RNAcentral.
UUCCCGCGUGUCCCUGAGCUUGUUAAGCUUGC